UACAGAGGUCUCAAGCGUUGUUCGGAUUCAUUGGGCGUAAAGGGUGCGUAGGCGGCGCGGUAAGUCGGGUGUGAAAUCUCGGAGCUUAACUCCGAAACUGCAUUCGGUACUGCCGUGCUUGAGGACUGGAGAGGAGACUGGAAUUUACGGUGUAGCGGUGAAAUGCGUAGAUAUCGUAAGGAAGACCAGUGGCGAAGGCGGGUCUCUGGACAGUUCCUGACGCUGAGGCACGAAGGCUAGGGGAGCAAACGGG
RNAcentral lists this ribosomal RNA (253 nucleotides) under uncultured bacterium. RNAcentral describes it as "partial 16S ribosomal RNA". It matches the Rfam family "Bacterial small subunit ribosomal RNA", at positions 524 to 776 of the family's 1533-position model. The record is from RNAcentral.